AUUGAUAAAAUUAAUUAAUAAACUAUUUUUAAAUUGAAUUUAUUUAAUAAAGAUAUUUUUAUUUAUGUUGUUUAAGUUUUAGUAUUUUUUUAAAAAAAAUUAUUUUAUUGAAAGUUAAUUAGUAUUGAUAAAGAAAUUUAAUAUUAAAAUAAAUUUUGUAAAGAAAAUUUUAUUUAUUGUAUCUUGUGUAUCAGAGUUAAUUAAAUUAAUAAAUUUAUUUAUAUUUAUCUUGAAAAAUAAAAAUUUAAUUAAAUAUUUAAUUUAAUAUUAAAUAAUUAUUUAAAAUAUUUAAUUGGAAACUAAAUAUUAUUCGUUUUAUUUUAUAUCUAGUUUUUUUAGAAAUUAAAUUUAAUUUAAUUUUUUUUUAAAAAAUAAAUUAAAUAAUUUAUUUGAAAUUUUUAUUAUAAAAAAUUAAAUAAUUUUUGGGAUAAGCUUUAAAUUAAAUUUCUAAAUUUUUAUUUUUUUUAAAUAAUUUCUAGUUUAUUAUAAUUUAAAUUUUUAAUUAUUUUUAUUUUAUUAAUUUUUUAAAUCUAACUUAUUUUAAUUAAAUUUUUUAUUUAAAAAUUAGUAAAUUUAUAAAAAUAUUAAUUUUAAUUAUAUUUUUUAAUUAAUUAUGAUUAAAUUAUUUAUAUAACAUAAAUUUUAAAGAAUAAAUUUAAUAAUAAUAAAUUUUUAUUAAAAUUUAAAUUUAAUAAUUAGGCAAAUUAAAAAAUUCAAAUGUUUAUCAAAAACAUUUCUUUUUGAAUUAAUAAAAUUUUUAGAUAAAAAGUAUAAUCUGCCCACUGAAUUUAAAUUUUAAAGGGCUGCAGUAUUUUAACUGUACUAAGGUAGCAUAAUAAAUUGUUUUUUAAUUGAAAACUGGAAUGAAUGAUUGAAUGAAAUUUUUACUUUUUUGAUUUUAUUUUUUUAUAAAACUUUGUUUUUUAGUAAAAAAACUAAAAUCUUUAAAAAAGACGAGAAGACCCUAUAGAUUUUUAAUAUAAACUUACAUAAUUUUUUUUAUUAAAAUUUAUAUAAUUUAUUUAAAUUGGGGUGAUAAAAAAAUUUAUUUAACUUUUUUUAUUUUUUAAUCAAUUAUUUUUGAUUUUAUUAAGAUUAAUAAUUAUACUAAAUUUGUUAUUUUAUUUAAAUAAAAUUACCUUAGGGAUAACAGCAAAAUUUUAAUUUAAAGAUGUUAUUUAAAUUAAAGAUUUUGACCUCGAUGUUGGAUUAAAAUAAAAAUUUUGUGAAGUAGCAAAUUAUUUUUAGUCUGUUCGACUAUGAAAAUUUUACAUGAUCUGAGUUCAGACCGGUGUAAGCCAGGUUGGUUUCUAUCUUUUUUUAAGAAAAAAUUUAUAGUACGAAAGGAAUUAAAUUAUCAAUUUAAUUUUCUAAAAAUUAAAAUUUGAUUUAUAAUUAAUUAUAAAAAUUAAUAGUAUUUUAGAUAUUUUUUAAUUAUUAA
This 1441-nucleotide ribosomal RNA is filed under the name Plectrocnemia sp. 1 YW-2021a. RNAcentral describes it as "16S ribosomal RNA". The record is from RNAcentral. Lineage: Eukaryota; Metazoa; Arthropoda; Insecta; Trichoptera; Polycentropodidae.